RNAcentral lists this ribosomal RNA (1306 nucleotides) under uncultured bacterium. RNAcentral's name for it is "bacterial SSU rRNA". It matches the Rfam family "Bacterial small subunit ribosomal RNA", at positions 28 to 1381 of the family's 1533-position model. The record is from RNAcentral.
AACGUACGCUGGCGGCACGCCUAACACAUGCAAGUCGAACGAAGUAGCAAUACUUAGUGGCAGACGGGUGAGUAACAUGUGGGUAUCUGCCCUUUGGCCUGGAAUAACACGAGGAAACUUGUGCUAAUACCGGAUAAGUCUUUACGGAGAAAGCUUUAUGCACCAUUGGAUGAGCCCGCACUUGAUUAGUUUGUUGGUGGGGUAAUGGCCUACCAAGACUGUGAUCAAUAGCUGAUUUGAGAGGAUGAUCAGCCACAUUGGGACUGAGACACGGCCCAAACUCCUACGGGAGGCAGCAGUGGGGAAUCUUGCACAAUGGAGGAAACUCUGAUGCAGCGAUGCCGCGUGAGUGAAGAAGGCCCUUGGGUUGUAAAGCUCUUUCGUCGGGGAAGAAAAUGACUGUACCCGAAUAAGAAGGUCCGGCUAACUUCGUGCCAGCAGCCGCGGUAAUACGAAGGGACCUAGCAUAGUUCGGAAUUACUGGGCUUAAAGAGUUCGUAGGUGGUUGAAAAAGUUAGUGGUGAAAUCCCAGAGCUUAACUCUGGAACUGCCAUUAAAACUUUUCAGCUAGAGUAUGAUAGAGGAAAGCAGAAUUUCUAGUGUAGAGGUGAAAUUCGUAGAUAUUAGAAAGAAUACCAAUUGCGAAGGCAGCUUUCUGGAUCAUUACUGACACUGAGGAACGAAAGCAUGGGUAGCGAAGAGGAUUAGAUACCCUCGUAGUCCAUGCCGUAAACGAUGUGUGUUAGACGUUGGAAAUUUAUUUUCAGUGUCGCAGCGAAAGCGAUAAACACACCGCCUGGGGAGUACGACCGCAAGGUUAAAACUCAAAUGAAUUGACGGGGACCCGCACAAGUAGUGGAGCAUGUGGUUUAAUUCGAAGAUACGCGCAGAACCUUACCAACACUUGACAUGUUCGUCGCGACUCUAAGAGAUUAGAGUUUUCGGUUCGGCCGGACGAAACACAGGUGCUGCAUGGCUGUCGUCAGCUCGUGUCGUGAGAUGUUGGGUUAAGUCCCGCAACGAGCGCAACCCUCACUUUUAGUUGCCAUCAUUAAGUUGGGCACUCUGAAAGAACUGCCAGUGAUAAGCUGGAGGAAGGUGGGGAUGACGUCAAGUCCUCAUGGCCCUUACGUGUUGGGCUACACACGUGCUACAAUGGUAUCUACAACAGGAAGCAAGACUGCGAGGUCAAGCAAAUCCUUAAAAGAUACCUCAGUUCGGAUUGCACUCUGCAACUCGAGUGCAUGAAGCUGGAAUUACUAGUAAUCGUGGAUCAGCGUGCCACGGUGAAUGCGUUCCCGGGUCU